This 253-nucleotide ribosomal RNA is filed under the name uncultured bacterium. Its description in RNAcentral is "partial 16S ribosomal RNA". It matches the Rfam family "Bacterial small subunit ribosomal RNA", at positions 524 to 776 of the family's 1533-position model. The record is from RNAcentral.
UACGGGGGGGGCAAGCGUUGUUCGGAAUUACUGGGCGUAAAGGGCUCGUAGGUGGCCAACUAAGUCAGACGUGAAAUCCCUCGGCUUAACCGGGGAACUGCGUCUGAUACUGGAUGGCUUGAGUUUGGGAGAGGGACGCGGAAUUCCAGGUGUAGCGGUGAAAUGCGUAGAUAUCUGGAGGAACACCGGUGGCGAAGGCGACGUCCUGGACCAACACUGACACUGAUGAGCGAAAGCCAGGGGAGCAAACGGG